Molecule: long non-coding RNA, 2857 nt
Filed under: Daucus carota (carrot)
Lineage: Eukaryota; Viridiplantae; Streptophyta; Magnoliopsida; Apiales; Apiaceae
Description: long non-coding RNA (DCAR_LNC001683)
Source: RNAcentral
CUCAACGUACCGCGAUUUUCAACCUUUCGCCGAGUGACUUCAUAAGCAAGUUCAUCCAUGAAAGCAUCAGCUACAUGAGCAACAUCCUCCAGCUUGUUGAACCAGCUCUGGACAGCAGACAUCUUUAGCUUUUUGCUAUCAGCAUCGGAUAAUAGAGCAUCAAUGGUUUCCAACCUUUCUCGCAGUGUUACUAGAUGUUCCUGAAGAUUCCAAGCCUGAAUGACUUCUUCAGCCGCAAGUGAAACAAGCUUGAAAACCAGGCCACUGGCAAGAUCAGUUACAAAUGCAUCAGCCAUGAGUAUAGGAAAAGAAAUGUUUGUAAUGUAUGGAGAUUAUAAUUUGAUACUCCAGCAAUUUCACUGCUUAGAAGAGGGUUCAGCAGACAAGAGUGAAUGAUGAGUACUAAAAAAUCAAAUUGUGGUCAGCAACAACAUGGCCAACUCGUCAACUUGGCCGACUCGUCAACUUUGGCAACUUGUCAACUAGGCCACUAUACACCUACCAUAAUCCAAUAAUUUCAUGUAUAAAUACAAACUAUAAUUUACUACUUUAUAAGCCGGGCCAAGCACGAGAUUAUAUAAAUUUUUUAAGUUUAUUAUUUAUUAAAAAUAUAAUAUAUUUGAUAUAAUUAUUUAAAUUAUUUACCGCUUGGUCAUUUUUCAUUUCUUUCUUCUUAUGGCUUUCCAAAUUUUAUUUCCGUAUUCUUUGCCUGAAACUUACUUGAUCUUGAAAAAGAUUUUUGAAAUUGAAAUUCUCAAAAAUUAGUUUUUUGGAAUAUUAUUUUUGAGAAAAAUAUUUCCGCCACUUCAAGUUUUAAACUUUUUUUCUUAAAAACCGUUUUCCAGUACUGUAAAGGGGAGAAAGGAGAAACCAUAUCAUAUUUUAGAGAAAUUAUCCUCCGAUAAUACGUAUCUUAAUUUCUAGAAACUCAACAAGUGCAGGAAAAUAUUUUACAGAAGUUUUUGACCUAAAACAACGAUUUUUUUACUUCUCAAUAGUGAUGAAGUUUUUUCAAAAUCUCAGGUGAUAACUCUAAAAUCGACUAUACUAACUCCAAAAAAUCUCCUUUUAAGUCUAUAUAAAAUUUAUUCUAUACCCACCUUCUACUUUCAAACUCCAUAUUCCACCAGAAAGAGUACAUUUUCUAGUUCUUAAAUCACCUCCCCUGCCUUGAAAAGUCCUUCUUUCUAGUCUUUGUGAUCAUGUCCCUACUCACAUGUUCACGGCACAGAGUUGUCGAAAGUGGAGGCUUGCUGUCAAUCUCAGCUAAUGAAUGUGAUCAAGGACGGGACAGAGCUGGCCCUAUUAGCGUCUCAGUUCCGUGUAGAAUCAAUUAACAGGAGCUGGUCCUGCCAUAAGGAGCUAUACAUUCAAGUCGAUAUAACUAUGCACAACUUAUCUUUCUCGUCUGGUACAAAUUAUUAUCCCCUUACCUAACUUUUAUUUCAUUUUUCUUAUGUUUCCUGCGAACUCGGAAAAUCCUUCUUCCGUUCAGUAGCCUAAACGUUAACCUGUCAGGGAAAACACUUAGUGACGGGUUAAUAUGAAGAGUUGAUAGAAAAUAGAAAAAAUAUUUGACACAACUUGUUCCGGAGGUAUUAUUUCUCCUCGUCUUUUUCUCGGCCAUUUCCUGGUUAGUAAAUAUUUAACGGUUUUUCUGUGGUGUGCCCAUGGGCACACACUAAGCGCUAACUUUCAUGAGUAUGAUGCAUUUUUAUUGGUCCUCCAAUCAUAAAUAUGGAUGGCCCCCUGCAUUUGCAUCAAGUCCACCAAUAAAAACCCACCAAACUCAUCAGUUUAUUGUGUGCCCUUGGGCACACAUUAGAAAGACCCAAUAUUUAAUAUGCAAAAAGAUAGAGUUACAUGGAAGAAAUAUGAAGUUAUUUUAGGUGCCAAGUAGUCCAGAAUUAGAAGAUCACAAGCUCUUAUAAAUAAUUUUAGUGCUAUUAUAUAACAAAGAUUUGCCAUGUAAAGAAAUUGCUCAACAUACAGUAGUAAUCUAUAGAAUUAUCAAAGAACUCAUGCAACCUGUAAAUACAAGUUUAUUAUCCAAAAGAAAAAAGAGAUUAAUGUCUCAUAAUUAACGUGGCAUCCUCUGCACGUCCUCCAGCCAUGUCUGAUAUGCUAUCUUUGCUGGUGAAAAUGACUGUCAUGACAUUACUCUCAUCAAUCAAGUCCAUCUAUUUGUUUGAUGUGUUGGAUUUUGGACCAUUCCGCCCCACUUCCCUUCCUGUAUCUUUCUUGUAUUAUCGGACAAUGAGAUAUCUCCAUUGUCGAGAGAAGUAUGGAUAGACUUGAUCUUAUGAGCAACCUUAGAACGAUAAAGAACGCUGUUUUUAGUAGAAAAUAAAUGCCUCAACGUACCGCGAUUUUCAACCUUUCGCCGAGUUUCAUCCAUGAAAGCAUCAGCUCCAUGAGGAACAUCCCACAGCUUGUUGAACCAGCUCUGGACAGCAGACAUGUUUAGCUUUUUGCUAUCAGCAUCGGAUGAUAGAGCAUCAAUGGUUUCCAACCUUUAAUAUCCGAGCUUAUCCCGGUUUUAAUCAAUGCCUCAUCAAUGUUUAGCUUUUUAGUAUCCGAGCUUUAUCCCGGUUUUAAUCCAGGCCGGUUUUUGUGAAAAUGAGUCUUGGAGAGAGUAUUAGGUUUGGAUCCUUGCUGUUACAAUGUGGUACAAAGAAUUUUUAUUAUUUAAGCAUUGCACUUAUCAUAAUGUGAGUUAAGAAAUAGAUGUUCAUGAAAUAUUAAAAGUAAAGUGUUAGAUGUGUCUAACUAAAUGAUAUUACCAAUGUUAGACUUGCCUAUUCGUGAAAAUUAUUCUCUAAGAAAAUAAUACUAAUUUUAUAUAUUAUCAUCUUGC